Molecule: ribosomal RNA, 450 nt
Filed under: uncultured bacterium
Lineage: Bacteria
Description: partial 16S ribosomal RNA
Rfam family: Bacterial small subunit ribosomal RNA
Source: RNAcentral
GUGGGGAAUAUUCCGCAAUGGACGAAAGUCUGACGGAGCAACGCCGCGUGAGUGAUGAAGGUUUUCGGACUGUAAAGCUCUGUUGUUUAGGACGAAAGUGCCUGUUGCAAAUAGUUACAGGUAUUGACGGUACUGAACGAGGAAGCCACGGCUAACUACGUGCCAGCAGCCGCGGUAAUACGUAGGUGGCAAGCGUUGUCCGGAAUUAUUGGGCGUAAAGAGCAUGUAGGCGGGAAUCUAAGUCUGUUGUGAAAAUGCGGGGCUCAACCCCGUAUUGCGAUGGAAACUGGGUUUCUUGAGUGCAGGAGAGGAAAGGGGAAUUCCCAGUGUAGCGGUGAAAUGCGUAGAUAUUGGGAGGAACACCAGUGGCGAAGGCGCCUUUCUGGACGAUGUCUGACGCUGAGGCGCGAAAGCUAGGGGAGCGAACGGGAUUAGAAACCCGGGUAGUCC